RNA transcript from Solanum tuberosum (potato), 1824 nucleotides. It is a transcript of the gene named VQ motif-containing protein 9, with no coding region annotated. The transcript has 3 exons. The record is from RefSeq and is a predicted model, not a curated record. NCBI's taxonomy places the organism in Eukaryota, Viridiplantae, Streptophyta, Magnoliopsida, Solanales, Solanaceae.
AAAGCCCAUUCUUAUCUUAGCAAAAACUGAUAUCACACGCAUCUUUUCUCAUCACAAUCAUCUUCUUCCUCUAAUGCAACUCACGAAUCUACAGUGUAUCCUCCCCUCCCCCACCAGGCUCCAUUUUAUACUCUUUAAUUAAAACCCUUUCAUUUACAAAGCCCCAUUCUCUUCUUUUAAGCUAAAAUCCCCAUUUCCCAAAGGUUAAAGCAAAACAAAUCUCCCCCCGACUUUUUCUUCUUUUCAUUCACUUUCUUUACUUACUGUAUCAAGUUUGAAUCUUUGUAAUCUUCAUUACUACUACUUUUUUGGUAAUAUAAAAAAAGGGAAUAUAGUAUAAUUUGUUGCUCUGUUUUUAGUGAAAAAAAAUAGAUACUCUGUUUUUAUAUAAUAACCCCAUUUCUAGAGAGAGAAAGAGUGGUUUGGGGAAGCUCUGCUGCUCUAUUGUUUAAUGGAUAAAAGCUGUAAUUCUUCUGGUGAGGGUGAUUCUACUGCUACUUCAGCAAGUAGUAGUAGCAGUGGUAAUAGAGAUAUGUAUUUGAAGCACCUAAACAAAAUCUCUCACAAGAUCUCGAAACCCAUUAGAAAACCUGCUUUUUUUGAAAACCAGAAUCCUCCGCAGGCGCAGGCGCAGACCCAACACGCUCCACCGCCUCUUCCUCCUCCUCCUCCUCCAGCUGGGCCGCAAAAUUUGCACCCUCAGCCGCAGCAACAGCCGCCGGUGUAUAAUAUUAACAAGAGUGAUUUUAGGGAUGUUGUUCAGAAGCUUACGGGCUCCCCUGCUCAUGAAAGGAUUUCGACUCCUCCGCCUAUUCAACAACCCAAGGCUGCAAGUUCACGGUUGCAGAGGAUUCGUCCUCCGCCGCUUGCUCAGAUUAGCAACCGCCCACCUCCGUUUGUGAAUGGUUCUAAUAACGCCGUUGCUGGUGGAGGGUUUGUUGGCGGUCAACGGCCUGUUCAGGCACAGCCGUUAUCUCCUCUCCCACCGUUUCCGGCGGUGCAUGCGUCGGCGGAAUCGCCGAUCUCCGCUUACAUGAGGUUUCUACAGAGCUCAAUCGCUUCUGCUUCGACUGAUUCCGAUUCCAAGCGAUUCUCUACUGGGCUAUCACCACUAGCUCCGCGGUGGAACAACUUCGGUGCGCCGCAGCAGCAGCCACCAUUUCCGCCUCCUCAGCCGCUUCCGCUGCCGCAUCAACAGAACAUUCCUCCGCCACCGACAAACUCCUCCUUUGUUUUACCACCGUUUCCUGCUUUUCCCUCAUCGCCACUUCCGUUUGGGUGUUUGCCGUCGCCAAGGUCGCCGUACGGUUUGCUAUCUCCCGGUCUUCUGCUUUCACCGUCCCGUCAACUAGGGUUUCAGCAGCUCCCUUUGUCGCCGACACUUCCAGUGGCAAGCCCGAAGUGGAAGGGUAUUUGAGGAAUUUCAUAGAAACAUUAAAAAGCGAAGUUAAGUAUGAAGAAUCCACAAUCCGUCGCAUAUCAAUUUCUCAAAAAUCUAUUUCAACUCGCCUCGCAUAUGCCCUGCCCUGCAUAUUUCAAACCCUCCCCGUCCCGCAAAGCCUUAUGAUGCAAAAAUAUCACUGCCGGCAGAACAUGAGAGGCAACGCAUAUGGAGCUCAAGCCAAGGAAAAUGGAUGAUGAUAAAGUAAGCUAAUUGAAGAAGUAUAUACAUCACUGAAGGAAAAAUUUACUGGCUAAUUGAUAAGAUAUCGGUUGAUUUAGUAUCAGAUUAGUAAUUACUGGAUGGUUACUUGAUGAUGUAUAUAUAAAUAUUGGCACUCUGUGUUAACUUGUAUAUUUUAUGACACCAAAAUCAGUAAGAGA